UUGGGAAUAAAAAUAGAAUAGACAAAUAGUAUACUUUAUAAGUGAUCAACUAGCCCCUUCCGCCUUUCCUGCUUGCCCUUGUUAAUGCCUUGCGACUUGCCUUGAAAAAGCUUAACAUGGAAAAAAAGCCCUAUCCUUUUACCCUGGAAAAAUACUCAAUCAAUGGUGUUACUAUUUCGUAGGUAUAGCCACUGGAAAGGGCACUGGGAUAAAGGGGAAAUAUGAUAUUGAGGGCUUCCUAGUUGUCUAUUGCUCCUGGAAUCUCACUAUUGGCUUGCCUGGACCCUCUUGGUUUGCUUGGAGAAGCACUAGAACUACAUGGGGUUACCAUAUGCCCUUUUUUCUUUUCAUGACUCGGAGCUAACAUAACACUUUAACUAGAUGGCACUCCAACUGACACUGCAACUCAAAGCUACGGGAGGGCAGAACCAAUGUAACUGGCUUAGGGGGCACUCGAACUCGAGAGAAGCUAAACGCUCGGCUGGAUCAUAUUGUCUCGUAUGGACUGCUCCUAUUGAGACUGCUACAAGAGAGAAUGGAACUACAUGUAAAGAAACUCCCACUGGCUCGUAAGCAUCGGGGACUGCGGGGAAUUAAACUACUGCUACAAGGAAUACUGGGCCUUAGUCCUUCUCUUCUUUUAAACCUAUUCACUCGUAUCCCUAUCCAAAACGACAUGGAAGCACUUAGAACUGGAAUAUAAGUAUGAGUAUGCUAUGGGGCUAUUGACUAAGGGAUCUUAGAUAGGCUAUUGAUUAUCCCGCUUUCAAACUGGUUGUCCUAAAGGACAGGAGGAACUCUUUAACAUAUUAAUUAGUCUGGGGUGUACACUGAAAUGCCUUAGCCAAAGUAAACCACUCCUUAUGUAUACGAACAUUGGCUUGCAACUGCCAUUCUUUCUCGAUCGAAGGCAGAAGCAAUUGAAAAGAGAGAAGCAAAUGAUGAACUGGCUGGAAAAGAGCUCCCAGAGUAGAACUCGAAAUGAAAGUGGGCCUUUAACUGGCACUCCCGCUGUAAUUGGCUGGCCAGGAAAGUUCACUCGCUUAUUUACUUACGUUCUUAUUGAAGAAAGGAAAUUAAGAAAUAGCUACUAUUGAUACUGUAGUGGGACUGAGACUUAAAACAAAUAUACCUAUUAAGAGGUGGAACUGCUAGGCCUAGUACUUCCUAUUGCUGGUAUUCCAGGUGAACUUAUUCAAUACUCUAUGGUAGAAAUAGGAGAAACAUAUUCUAUUACUUAAUAAAGGGGAGAAACAAUUAGCUAUGAACUCAUCUCCUACACUGGGUCUAUGGGAACUAGGACUGAAAUUAUAUGGAUGGCUUUCGAGCCUGGAAAAUAACUGGCUUUUUCACAAGAUUGGUGAAACUGCUUUUAUCACUGGCUUUCCUCUUCUACUGAUUUAUAUUUCCUCCCGCUUUCUUCUUUUACGGAUAUUUCCCUUAGCUUUUUACCUAACCAGCCUUCAUCGAUACGAUACCCUGGCUUGCUUCUUUGCCUGCCUUGACUGUCGAAAUUAGCUUCCCUUAUUGAGAGCUCCCCAGCAAUAGAAUAUGACGAUACUCAUGCUCUGCUUGAACACUUGCCUGAUGGCUUUCAAAAUAGUUAUGGAUUGAAAAAGGGUAAAGAAACUGAAACUCAAAAGCAAACAAAGGAUUAGCAAUGGCUGGAAUAGAACUCCCAGAGAGAAGGCCAAAAACUGGCGCUUGGCUGGAAGGAAUUAGAUUAUGACUGGCCUCACCCUAUUUAUUUAUUUAUUGGCUCAUCUGGAUCGGUAACCUCGGGAAACCCGGGAGAACUCUUAUUGGGAGAACUUCAAGUGUUUAACUCCAAGCCCGACAUAUAAAAGCUAUAUUCAAGCCCCAGCCCUGUUUACUCCUGCUCAUUUAAAAUAUUCCUUACUGCUUGCCUUGAGAGAAACUCCUGCUGAAAAGGGAAUGCUUUCAUUUACUUAUGAUCUUGCUGGAUUAAAAAAGACUCCAACAGGAACUGAAAUUGAUAUAUAUAUAUAUAUAUAUAUAUGCAUUAAACUGCAUCAAAAUUAGCGAUAGAGACAUUGAUUGAAACAAUUAAAUGUGCUAAGUUGCACGUGCUGAACUUUGCCAAUGAACCACGUUCUACGUUUUACCACCCACCACGAAAACGAAAAAAAUUUGGGCCUGGGCCUCAUGGGCCUCACUUGGAGCCAUGGCCCAUUCCAAGUAGAGCGGGUUGAGUCGUUCGUAGUUCGAAGUUCGAACUCGGUUUUUUAACAUAUACCCUAAAAUUUGUGUCCGCGCCCACCUCUUCUCCUCCCUGGCUCCUCCCGGAGUACAUCAAAACCCUAGCUUCGAUCCUGAUUGUUGAGAUUCCUCUAGGGUUUGGAACCCGAAAUUGGUGAUGGAAGAGGACGAAGGAGAGACCGUUUCUGUUUCGGAGGUCGCCCCAGCUUUGAUCGCCGUACAUCCUCUCGAGAAUUCCGUUGCUGUCGCCGUGGGAUCCGGGGUAAGGCGGAUUGAACUACUGAAUAAGAGAAGCAUUGGGAUUUCCUUGAUUAUAGGGUACUAUCUCAUUGCGGAAGCAGAAGGGAAUCCUUCGAAAGGCAAACCAACGAGGAAGCAUGAAAGGAUCAGAGAAAGAUGUCUUCCUCGGGAAGAAAGCGCGAGCUCUUCAAUCAGUGAGCAUACCUCAUGGGAAUGCAGGUCUUGUUGCAGCACGGGCGUAAAAAGACAUCAUUGAUAACAACUCACUCUCGUUAAGCUCUUACGGUUCAAGGAAGGGAGACCGUCAAGGACAAGGCCAGUGACAAGUCAGGGGCAGGAAAUUCUACUAUAAUACGAGAUCUGUCAAGAAAAAACGGCAACAUAAAUAGUUCAGUCUGUGCCAUCUUAAAGUACAAUGCCAAUAGAGUCAACGAAUCGGAUUGAAAUCAGUGUGAAGAAGAGGGACUAAUCAAGCACAGCAAAAUAGUAGUCAUGUCCACAAGGAAAGGAAUUAUUUUCACCCCCUAUCUAUAUUAUGGGUCUGUACUACUCUAGGAGGUACUAUUGGCAGAGGGGAAGCGCCACUUAGAGACUUUGAAUCUGAAGGAGGGCAGUCGGCCCUAAAGGUAAGAAGGUCUUUGUUUAAGUUCUAAAGUAAUGAUUCAAUCCCACACCUAUUGGAAUCCUCGUGUUGGACACGACGAACCACGCGGAAUAAAGGAAAGCGGGAACUGAACUGAGAACGUUUCGCUGUGAGUCUCCGAACAGCCCGACCCACAUCGCUUCUCUAGAUUAGUGUACUUCCUAAGGUUGGGCAUUUGGCUGAGCCUCUCUCCCUCACCAAUGUGAAUGAAAGGGCACCACAUACAUCUCGACUAGUUUAGUUCGUGCCUGCGGAGCGAACUAAAACCUAUUUUGAAUUCCGGACUCCGAAGUUAGGAUAUUUGGUUGCUUGCUUUGUACUCGACCCAUGUGGUUCGGCUUGUUGCGCCACCUCACUUAACCAAACAUAUCCGAGAAUCAGUUCUACCUGAUCUACACAGCACUUGCUGCUUCAUCCCCGGUUGCAUCUUACUCUGCUGGUCCACCUUCUAAACUGGUCUCCGCACCUGAGACACAUCCGUCUCCUGUUGCUUAUUCUUUUUCCUAUAUUGUGGUGGCUUAUUCGGCGAGUUGGAGCUCCUACUGUUCCCGCGCCAGCUUCAACUCUUGCUCCCGAUUCGGCUCGUGCAACCAGGUGCGGGGCGGCGAUCACUUCGAGAGCUGCACAAGGUAUAUUUUGCACUCUUUAUUUAAGAAUAUUGCCCCCCUAUGUAUGUAUGGCGGUGGAAUUACGAUAGGUAGAGUGCCUCUAUACGGGAAGGUAACCCGUAGAGUGCUGCUUUCUUUGUGGUAAAGCCACAUGAUUGUGAUUAUUAAAGAGUUAGGAUUGAACCUACGACCUCCAGUCUCCCUAAGUGGAGUAAAGCUCCCUUCGGCCUCGAAGAUCAUCUGGUUCCAACUCGAAUUUCUAUGUUAAUAGGUUUUGUACUUCUGCAUGUUGGGAAUAAAAAUAGAAUAGACAAAUAGUAUACUUUAUAAGUGAUCAACUAGCCCCUUCCGCCUUUCCUGCUUGCCCUUGUUAAUGCCUUGCGACUUGCCUUGAAAAAGCUUAACAUGGAAAAAAAGCCCUAUCCUUUUACCCUGGAAAAAUACUCAAUCAAUGGUGUUACUAUUUCGUAGGUAUAGCCACUGGAAAGGGCACUGGGAUAAAGGGGAAAUAUGAUAUUGAGGGCUUCCUAGUUGUCUAUUGCUCCUGGAAUCUCACUAUUGGCUUGCCUGGACCCUCUUGGUUUGCUUGGAGAAGCACUAGAACUACAUGGGGUUACCAUAUGCCCUUUUUUCUUUUCAUGACUCGGAGCUAACAUAACACUUUAACUAGAUGGCACUCCAACUGACACUGCAACUCAAAGCUACGGGAGGGCAGAACCAAUGUAACUGGCUUAGGGGGCACUCGAACUCGAGAGAAGCUAAACGCUCGGCUGGAUCAUAUUGUCUCGUAUGGACUGCUCCUAUUGAGACUGCUACAAGAGAGAAUGGAACUACAUGUAAAGAAACUCCCACUGGCUCGUAAGCAUCGGGGACUGCGGGGAAUUAAACUACUGCUACAAGGAAUACUGGGCCUUAGUCCUUCUCUUCUUUUAAACCUAUUCACUCGUAUCCCUAUCCAAAACGACAUGGAAGCACUUAGAACUGGAAUAUAAGUAUGAGUAUGCUAUGGGGCUAUUGACUAAGGGAUCUUAGAUAGGCUAUUGAUUAUCCCGCUUUCAAACUGGUUGUCCUAAAGGACAGGAGGAACUCUUUAACAUAUUAAUUAGUCUGGGGUGUACACUGAAAUGCCUUAGCCAAAGUAAACCACUCCUUAUGUAUACGAACAUUGGCUUGCAACUGCCAUUCUUUCUCGAUCGAAGGCAGAAGCAAUUGAAAAGAGAGAAGCAAAUGAUGAACUGGCUGGAAAAGAGCUCCCAGAGUAGAACUCGAAAUGAAAGUGGGCCUUUAACUGGCACUCCCGCUGUAAUUGGCUGGCCAGGAAAGUUCACUCGCUUAUUUACUUACGUUCUUAUUGAAGAAAGGAAAUUAAGAAAUAGCUACUAUUGAUACUGUAGUGGGACUGAGACUUAAAACAAAUAUACCUAUUAAGAGGUGGAACUGCUAGGCCUAGUACUUCCUAUUGCUGGUAUUCCAGGUGAACUUAUUCAAUACUCUAUGGUAGAAAUAGGAGAAACAUAUUCUAUUACUUAAUAAAGGGGAGAAACAAUUAGCUAUGAACUCAUCUCCUACACUGGGUCUAUGGGAACUAGGACUGAAAUUAUAUGGAUGGCUUUCGAGCCUGGAAAAUAACUGGCUUUUUCACAAGAUUGGUGAAACUGCUUUUAUCACUGGCUUUCCUCUUCUACUGAUUUAUAUUUCCUCCCGCUUUCUUCUUUUACGGAUAUUUCCCUUAGCUUUUUACCUAACCAGCCUUCAUCGAUACGAUACCCUGGCUUGCUUCUUUGCCUGCCUUGACUGUCGAAAUUAGCUUCCCUUAUUGAGAGCUCCCCAGCAAUAGAAUAUGACGAUACUCAUGCUCUGCUUGAACACUUGCCUGAUGGCUUUCAAAAUAGUUAUGGAUUGAAAAAGGGUAAAGAAACUGAAACUCAAAAGCAAACAAAGGAUUAGCAAUGGCUGGAAUAGAACUCCCAGAGAGAAGGCCAAAAACUGGCGCUUGGCUGGAAGGAAUUAGAUUAUGACUGGCCUCACCCUAUUUAUUUAUUUAUUGGCUCAUCUGGAUCGGUAACCUCGGGAAACCCGGGAGAACUCUUAUUGGGAGAACUUCAAGUGUUUAACUCCAAGCCCGACAUAUAAAAGCUAUAUUCAAGCCCCAGCCCUGUUUACUCCUGCUCAUUUAAAAUAUUCCUUACUGCUUGCCUUGAGAGAAACUCCUGCUGAAAAGGGAAUGCUUUCAUUUACUUAUGAUCUUGCUGGAUUAAAAAAGACUCCAACAGGAACUGAAAUUGGAUAGCUGGGAAUGGAAUAAUUAAUUAUGUAAAAAUACAUCUCUCACUUGCUUGUGUACUGGCACUCUCUGGAAAGGCUAUAAACUGACCCUGGGUCGGACUGGGACUUUCUCGCAGGAAAGGCAGAAUGAAACCAUUACGAAGGGAAAGAAAGAGAUACUUCUGUUGGCUUACUGGCUGGAAUGGUAAAGGACUAGUACUAGAAAUCGAUUACCCAGGCUGUAAAGGGCACUGACUCCCCAUAGCUUUCAGGAAAUUAAGGAACAGAGUGACGACCUUUAUAAUAUUAUUUAUAAAUAAAAAGAAUAAGGUAAGCAAAGAGAGGAAAUUCAAGUUCAAGAGACGGAUAGACUUACUCACUGGAAGGAUUGCCUAUACCCUUGCUUCACUAGAUAGGUGCUUUCCACUUACAGAAGAGGUGGAACAAGAUCAGGAUUUUUAAGAACUCCCACAGGAACUGGCUCUAAAGGAGAAGGAAUGGCACUAGGGGGAAGGGCUCGCAAAGCCUUAAGACUGAAAUUCAACCCCCCGAGAAGGCAGAACCAAGGAAACGGCCUGCAGGGGAAUCAGGACAGGUAAGGGAAGAAAGCAAGGCAAGGGAAAUCCCAACGGCUGGAAAGCAACUCGAUUAAAGGACAGGGACUACUGAUACAAUCCCAAAAGGAGGAGAUGCCCUUAGGAAUCCAACUCUCACUCCAACAGAUAAUUCAUCUUACUUAAAGGUUUCUUGCCUGCCCACAUCGAAAGAAAGUCCAACUGAGACUAUAUCUCAAACCCCUCCAAUGGUAACAGACUCGGGGACUACUAUUGCAAUAACAGGGACUGCUGGAAAGGAAAUAGGAUAUGCUGCAACACUGGGCUUGUUCAGGUAAUAUGCUAGUAAAAGAAUAGUGCAGAUAAUAGGUGUACAAGGCUAAUAUGCUAAUUAUUAACGAGUUGUUAUGUUAUACUAAAAUAAUCAAACUGAAAAGAGUUAUUAUGCUCACAUCACAGGGCCGGGCUCAGAGAACUCUGAAGUAGGCUCGAGAGCAAGAAAAGCAACUCCAACAGUAAAAGGUACUCCAAUUGACACUGAAACUGGGCAAACUCCCAAGAAGGGAGAAGGGCUAAUUCUAAGGCUGUCUCAUACUCUAUGUAACUAGGACUGGCACUAUGAACUCCUGCUUUAUAAUGACUUACUUGAUUACUUAGCCUAAGAGAGAGUUAAAAGUAAAGAAACUUAAACUGGAACUCACUCAAAACGAGCAGAAGGGCGAAGGACAGCAAUUGUAAAGAAUAAAGAAUCAAAGGCAGAAGGAAGGACAGAAAGGACAGGGACAAGGAAAACAAUUUAGGAAUACCUAUAGAUUUCCUCCGUAAAUAAAACUGUUUGCUCAGUUGACUAUCCAACUUUUUAAAACAAUCUGAACUUUGCUUUCUAACUAGCUUGCUCAUCAUAUAAUGUUGUCUCCCGGACACUGGCUCGCAUAGACCUAUAUCUAAGGGAACUAGCAAUAGCUGUAGGGGCUUAUCCUGAUCCUGAGACUGCUACUAUUUCUACUGCUACAAGAGAGAAUGUUUCAAUGGCAAUGGCCAGAGAAGCGGUACUUUGAAAAUCAAAAGGGCAAUUAGUACGGCUGACACGAUAGACUAAGAGACUACUUGCUCUCCCGCUGGGAGACAGGCAGAAGCACAUGAUGAUGCCCUUUUUUUCUUCUUCUUCAACUAGAUAGCUGGCAAUUGCCACUGAAACAGCAUCAAUGGUUGGAAGAAUAAAAGCAAUUGGAUAGUACCUUUUUUGCAAUUUCCUAGUAGGUUACAGGCCUGGAAAUAGACUGCAAAAAAGAGACGACUAAUGUACUCGCUUGCGCAUUUUCUUAACUCAUAUAAUUUCAUAAUUUAACUCAUAUAAUAAUGCUUAAUAACGAGCUUGCUUAUUCGCUUUUGCUCACAAAAGAACUGGCUUGCCAAAAGAAAAAGAAGAUUACUUAUCUCAAGGCCCUAGAAUCUGAGAACCUGAAAGAUAACUUGUUUGCUUUUUUUCCCUUUACCUGUGUGUGUCUGCUCACAACCGAAAUGAAUAGAAAACUCGCUGGAAGUGCCUUAAAGCCCAACUUCCCUUGCUUAUGGGACUGUAACCCACCAGUAGUAUAAGUAUAUACUACUACUACUUUAUAUGUAUAUAUCUUAUUAGUACAUUAAUAACCUAAUAACCAUAUAUUAAUAUAUGAAC
This 8208-nucleotide long non-coding RNA is filed under the name Ananas comosus (pineapple). RNAcentral's name for it is "long non-coding RNA (ACOM_LNC031552)". The record is from RNAcentral. Lineage: Eukaryota; Viridiplantae; Streptophyta; Magnoliopsida; Poales; Bromeliaceae.